This 63-nucleotide microRNA precursor is filed under the name Balearica regulorum gibbericeps (East African grey crowned-crane). RNAcentral's name for it is "Balearica pavonina gibbericeps mir-1789 microRNA precursor family". It matches the Rfam family "mir-1789 microRNA precursor family". The record is from Rfam by way of RNAcentral. Lineage: Eukaryota; Metazoa; Chordata; Aves; Gruiformes; Gruidae.
CCAUGCACCCACAAGCGCAACCCAACUCAAAUGAAAGGUUUGGGUGUACUUGUGGAUGAAUGG